CAAUAGCGUAUAUUUAAGUUGCUGCAGUUAAAAAGCUCGUAGUUGGAUUUCGGGUGGGAAUGGCCGGUCCGCCGUUUCGGUGUGCACUUGCUACGCCCACCUUGCUGCCGGGGACGUGCUCUUGAGUUCACGCUCGGGACACGGAGUCGGCGAGGUUACUUUGAGUAAAUUAGAGUGUUCAAAGCAGGCCUACGCUCUGAAUACAUUAGCAUGGAAUAACACGAUAGGACUCUGGCCUAUCUUGUUGGUCUGGAGGACCGGAGUAAUGAUUAAGAGGGACAGUCGGGGGCAUUCGUAUUUCAUUGUCAGAGGUGAAAUUCUUGGAUUUAUGAAAGACGAACUACUGCGAAAGCAUUUGCCAAGGAUGUUUUCAUUAA
RNAcentral lists this ribosomal RNA (377 nucleotides) under uncultured eukaryote. RNAcentral describes it as "partial 18S ribosomal RNA". It matches the Rfam family "Eukaryotic small subunit ribosomal RNA", at positions 592 to 976 of the family's 1831-position model. The record is from RNAcentral.